RNAcentral lists this ribosomal RNA (868 nucleotides) under Halobacillus dabanensis. RNAcentral describes it as "bacterial SSU rRNA". It matches the Rfam family "Bacterial small subunit ribosomal RNA", at positions 62 to 914 of the family's 1533-position model. Lineage: Bacteria; Bacillati; Bacillota; Bacilli; Caryophanales; Bacillaceae. The record is from RNAcentral.
GCGAGCGGAUCCCUUCGGGGUGAAGCUCGUGGAACGAGCGGCGGACGGGUGAGUAACACGUGGGCAACCUGCCUGUAAGAUCGGAAUAACCCCGGGAAACCGGGGCUAAUGCCGGGUAAUACUUUUCUUCGCAUGAAGAUGAGUUGAAAGAUGGCUUCUCGCUAUCACUUACAGAUGGGCCCGCGGCGCAUUAGCUAGUUGGUGAGGUAACGGCUCACCAAGGCAACGAUGCGUAGCCGACCUGAGAGGGUGAUCGGCCACACUGGGACUGAGACACGGCCCAGACUCCUACGGGAGGCAGCAGUAGGGAAUCUUCCGCAAUGGACGAAAGUCUGACGGAGCAACGCCGCGUGAACGAUGAAGGUCUUCGGAUCGUAAAGUUCUGUUGUCAGGGAAGAACAAGUACCGUGCGAAUAGAGCGGUACCUUGACGGUACCUGACGAGGAAGCCCCGGCUAACUACGUGCCAGCAGCCGCGGUAAUACGUAGGGGGCAAGCGUUGUCCGGAAUUAUUGGGCGUAAAGCGCGCGCAGGCGGUUCCUUAAGUCUGAUGUGAAAGCCCACGGCUCAACCGUGGAGGGUCAUUGGAAACUGGGGAACUUGAGGACAGAAGAGGAGAGUGGAAUUCCACGUGUAGCGGUGAAAUGCGUAGAUAUGUGGAGGAACACCAGUGGCGAAAGCGACUCUCUGGUCUGUUUCUGACGCUGAAGUGCGAAAGCGUGGGUAGCAAACAGGAUUAGAUACCCUGGUAGUCCACGCCGUAAACGAUGAGUGCUAAGUGUUAAGGGGCUUCCACCCCUAAUGCUGAAGUUACGCAUUAGCACUCCGCCUGGGGAGUACGCCCGCAAGCUGAAACUCCAAGGAAUGAC